This 301-nucleotide ribosomal RNA is filed under the name uncultured bacterium. RNAcentral describes it as "partial 16S ribosomal RNA". It matches the Rfam family "Bacterial small subunit ribosomal RNA", at positions 509 to 807 of the family's 1533-position model. The record is from RNAcentral.
CAGCAGCCGCGGGAAUACGUAGGGUGCGAGCGUUAAUCGGAAUUACUGGGCGUAAAGCGUGCGCAGGCGGUUGUGUAAGACAGGUGUGAAAUCCCCGGGCUUAACCUGGGAACUGCGCUUGUGACUGCAAAGCUAGAGUAUGGCAGAGGGGGGUGGAAUUCCACGUGUAGCAGUGAAAUGCGUAGAGAUGUGGAGGAACACCGAUGGCGAAGGCAGCCCCCUGGGCCAAUACUGACGCUCAUGCACGAAAGCGUGGGGAGCAAACAGGAUUAGAUACCCCCGUAGUCCCUGUCUCUUAUAC